RNAcentral lists this ribosomal RNA (181 nucleotides) under uncultured Staphylococcus sp. Its description in RNAcentral is "partial 16S ribosomal RNA". It matches the Rfam family "Bacterial small subunit ribosomal RNA", at positions 160 to 334 of the family's 1533-position model. The record is from RNAcentral. Lineage: Bacteria; Bacillati; Bacillota; Bacilli; Caryophanales; Staphylococcaceae.
AAGCUAAUACCGGAUAAUAUUUUGUAACCGCAUGGUUCAAAAGUGAAAGACGGUCUUGCUGUCACUUAUAGAUGGAUCCGCGCUGCAUUAGCUAGUUGGUAAGGUAACGGCUUACCAAUGCAACGAUGCAUAGCCGACCUGAGAGGGUGAUCGGCCACACUGUAACUGAGACACGGUCCAG